This 347-nucleotide ribosomal RNA is filed under the name Aeromonas hydrophila. RNAcentral describes it as "bacterial SSU rRNA". It matches the Rfam family "Bacterial small subunit ribosomal RNA", at positions 18 to 360 of the family's 1533-position model. Lineage: Bacteria; Pseudomonadati; Pseudomonadota; Gammaproteobacteria; Aeromonadales; Aeromonadaceae. The record is from RNAcentral.
UUUGGCUCAGGAGAACGCUGGCGGCAGGCCUAACACAUGCAAGUCGAGCGGCAGCGGGAAAGUAGCUUGCUACUUUUGCCGGCGAGCGGCGGACGGGUGAGUAAUGCCUGGGAAAUUGCCCAGUCGAGGGGGAUAACAGUUGGAAACGACUGCUAAUACCGCAUACGCCCUACGGGGGAAAGCAGGGGACCUUCGGGCCUUGCGCGAUUGGAUAUGCCCAGGUGGGAUUAGCUAGUUGGUGAGGUAAUGGCUCACCAAGGCGACGAUCCCUAGCUGGUCUGAGAGGAUGAUCAGCCACACUGGAACUGAGACACGGUCCAGACUCCUACGGGAGGCAGCAGUAGGAA